This 299-nucleotide signal recognition particle RNA is filed under the name Aptenodytes forsteri (emperor penguin). RNAcentral's name for it is "Metazoan signal recognition particle RNA". It matches the Rfam family "Metazoan signal recognition particle RNA". From Rfam's summary of the family: The signal recognition particle (SRP) is a universally conserved ribonucleoprotein. Lineage: Eukaryota; Metazoa; Chordata; Aves; Sphenisciformes; Spheniscidae. The record is from Rfam by way of RNAcentral.
GCCGGGCACGGUGGCUUGUGCCUGUAAUCCAAGCGCCGGGGAGGCUGAGGCUGGCGGACGGCUUGAGCCUGGGGGUUCUGGGCUGCAGCGAGCUGUGCUGAGCGGGCGUCCGCGCUAAGUUCAGCAUCGAUAUGGUGGUCCUGGGGGAGCCGGGGGCCACCAGGUCGCCUAAGGAGGGGUGAACCGGCCCAGGUCGGAGACGGAGCAGGUCAAAACUCCUGUGCUGAUCAGUAGCGGGAUGGCGCCUGUGAACAGUCCCUGUAGCACAGCCCGGGCGAGAGAGCGGGACCCAGUUUCCU